UACGUAGGGUGCGAGCGUUGUCCGGAAUUACUGGGCGUAAAGCGCGCGCAGGCGGCUAUCCAAGUCAGUGGUGAAAGCCCGGAGCUCAACUCCGGAACUGCCAUUGAAACUGUUUAGCUUGAGGAUGGGAGAGGUGAGUGGAAUUCCCAGUGUAGAGGUGAAAUUCGUAGAUAUUGGGAAGAACACCAGUGGCGAAGGCGGCUAUCUGGACCGGAACUGACGCUGAGGCGCGAAAGCGUGGGGAGCAAACAGG
RNAcentral lists this ribosomal RNA (253 nucleotides) under uncultured bacterium. Its description in RNAcentral is "partial 16S ribosomal RNA". It matches the Rfam family "Bacterial small subunit ribosomal RNA", at positions 524 to 776 of the family's 1533-position model. The record is from RNAcentral.